AGAAUCAACGCUGGCGGCGUGCCUAACACAUGCAAGUCGCACGAGAAAGGGUAGCAAUAUCUGAGUACAGUGGCGCACGGGUGAGUAACACGUGACUAACCUACCCUCGAGUGGGGAAUAACCUAGGGAAACCUGGGCUAAUACCGCAUAACACUUACGAGUCAAAGCAGCAAUGCGCUUGGGGAGGGGGUCGCGGCCGAUUAGCUAGUUGGCGGGGUAAUGGCCUACCAAGGCAAUGAUCGGUAUCCGGCCUGAGAGGGCGCACGGACACACUGGAACUGAAACACGGUCCAGACUCCUACGGGAGGCAGCAGUGGGGAAUUUUGCGCAAUGGGGGAAACCCUGACGCAGCAACGCCGCGUGGAGGAUGAAGUCUCUUGGGACGUAAACUCCUUUCGAUUGGAAGAUAAUGAGGUACCAAUAGAAGAAGCCCGGCUAACUUCGCGCCAGCAGCCGC
This 457-nucleotide ribosomal RNA is filed under the name uncultured bacterium. RNAcentral's name for it is "SSU rRNA". It matches the Rfam family "Bacterial small subunit ribosomal RNA", at positions 26 to 518 of the family's 1533-position model. The record is from RNAcentral.